Molecule: ribosomal RNA, 433 nt
Filed under: uncultured bacterium
Lineage: Bacteria
Description: partial 16S ribosomal RNA
Rfam family: Bacterial small subunit ribosomal RNA
Source: RNAcentral
AACGAACGCUGGCGGCAUGCCUAACACAUGCAAGUCGAACGAGACCUUCGGGUCUAGUGGCGCACGGGUGCGUAACGCGUGGGAACCUGCCCUUAGGUUCGGAAUAACUCCCCGACAGGGGUGCUAAUACCGGAUAAUGUCUUCGGACCAAAGAUUUAUCGCGUUUGGAUGGGCCCGCGUUGGAUUAGCUAGUUGGUAGGGUAAAAGCCUACCAAGGCGACGAUCCAUAGCUGGUCUGAGAGGAUGAUCAGCCACACUGGGACUGAGACACGGCCCAGACUCCUACGGGAGGCAGCAGUGGGGAAUAUUGGAAAAUGGGCGAAAGCCUGAUCCAGCAAUGCCGCGUGAGUGAUGAAGGCCGUAGGGUUGUAAAGCUCUUUUACCCGGGAUGAUAAUGACAGUACCGGGAGAAUAAGCUCCGGCUAACUCCGUG